CCUCUGGAGGUUUAGAGCACAAAUCAGAGACAAACGAAGCUUGCUGAAUUUGGACAGCUUACAAGCAGGUCCACAGGCACCAUUCCUUAAUUCUUUUUCUAAAUUAAGACACAUAUAAUGCAUGAUUUAAACUAAGAUUAGUGAUCGUCUUUAUAACCUUUGAACUUACAUUAGUACUCAUUUGAGGACAGCCGCCAACAUCCAGGCCUUCUUUUCAACUCUCAAGUCUUGGUUCACUGGUAACACUUCACACCUUUCUCACUGGGGCAGCAGCCAUUUUGGAAGUGGUGUAGUAAAUCUGGACAUCCAGUCUCUCACCGGCUUCGGAGUUUCGAUCCAUCCAAAUAAACCAGACCAACACGCGACACAGGAUCAAGUUUUAUACAAGUGGAAAUAUCUUGUUAGGAACAUUCCUUGUGCCUCACUCCCACCUGAGAGUAAUGUGGAGUGAGAUUUAAAAUUUGUGUUUCAACAUAAUGGGGAAAACUGUGAUGCAUGCACCAAUGCGGUUGAAUUAAUCUUAUUCUGACCAGAGAAGGGCUUUUACCCACAGAUACACCUGUCUGCUCUUUAGUGACCUCUGGUGGUUAGUGCAAGGCCUACUUCCACAAGAAGAAGAUGGAGGAGGAGGGGGUACAAAAGACUGCAAGGAUGUGGACACCAGUGUCAUUGCAAUGUUUUAUUAUAUCAAAAUACAAAAUUUUUUGAGGGUUAUUACGAUGGAACAAAGCAUUUGAACAAUGUGAACUGAAUAAAACCGAGCUGAAAUGAAUGUGUGUGUAUACAGUAUGUGUGUGUGUGUGUGUGUGUGUGUGUGGGUGCCUGGAGAUGUAAACGGUAAAGCUGAGCAGAGAUGUCCGUGCCAUGAUGUGGGACUAGUGGUGG
Alosa sapidissima (American shad) is the source of this 885-nucleotide long non-coding RNA. RefSeq lists it as uncharacterized. The transcript is spliced from 2 exons. Lineage: Eukaryota; Metazoa; Chordata; Actinopteri; Clupeiformes; Clupeidae. The record is from RefSeq and is a predicted model, not a curated record.